This 242-nucleotide ribosomal RNA is filed under the name uncultured bacterium. RNAcentral describes it as "partial 16S ribosomal RNA". It matches the Rfam family "Bacterial small subunit ribosomal RNA", at positions 30 to 278 of the family's 1533-position model. The record is from RNAcentral.
UUGAACGCUGGCGGCAUGCCUUACACAUGCAAGUCGAACGGUAGAGGGGCAACCCUUGAGAGUGGCGAACGGGUGAGUAAUAUAUCGGAACGUGCCCAGUCGUGGGGGAUAACGCAGCGAAAGCUGCGCUAAUACCGCAUACGAUCUAUGGAUGAAAGCGGGGGAUCGCAAGACCUCGCGCGAUUGGAGCGGCCGAUAUCAGAUUAGGUAGUUGGUGGGGUAAAAGGCCCACCAAGCCGACG